This 421-nucleotide ribosomal RNA is filed under the name uncultured bacterium. RNAcentral's name for it is "bacterial SSU rRNA". It matches the Rfam family "Bacterial small subunit ribosomal RNA", at positions 68 to 504 of the family's 1533-position model. The record is from RNAcentral.
GAUGAAGUUUCCUUCGGGAAAUGGAUUAGCGGCGGACGGGUGAGUAACACGGGGGUGAGCUGCCUCAUAGUGGGGGAUAGCCUUCCGAAAGGGAGAUUAAUACCGCAUAACAUCAUUAGAUGGCAUCAUUUAGUGAUCAAAGGAUUUAUUCGCUAUGAGAUGGACCCGCGUCGCAUUAUCUAGUUGGUAGGGUAAUGGCUUACCAAGGCGACGAUGCGUAGCCGACCUGAGAGGGUGAUCGGCCACGUUGGGACUGACACACGGCCCACACUCCUACGGGAGGCAUCGGUGGGGAAUAUUGCACAAUGGGGGAAACCCUGGUGCAGCAACGCCGCGUGAGUGAUGACGGUCUUCGGAUUGUAAAGCUCUGUCUUUGGGGACGAUAAUGACGGUACCCAAGGAGGAAGCCACGGCUAACUAC